This 253-nucleotide ribosomal RNA is filed under the name uncultured bacterium. RNAcentral describes it as "partial 16S ribosomal RNA". It matches the Rfam family "Bacterial small subunit ribosomal RNA", at positions 524 to 776 of the family's 1533-position model. The record is from RNAcentral.
UACGGGGGGGGCAAGCGUUGUUCGGAAUUACUGGGCGUAAAGGGCUCGUAGGCGGCCAACUAAGUCGGAUGUGAAAUCCCCAGGCUUAACCUGGGAACUGCAUCCGAUACUGGAUGGCUUGAAUCCGGGAGGGGGAUGCAGAAUUCCAGGUGUAGCGGUGAAAUGCGUAGAUAUCUGGAGGAAUACCGGUGGCGAAGGCGGCAUCCUGGACCGGCACUGACGCUCAUGCACGAAAGCGUGGGGAGCAAACAGG